Molecule: long non-coding RNA, 2674 nt
Organism: Centrocercus urophasianus (Greater sage-grouse)
Lineage: Eukaryota; Metazoa; Chordata; Aves; Galliformes; Phasianidae
Exons: 3
Source: RefSeq, a predicted model, not a curated record
CUCAGUGAUCCCACUGAGCUCAGUGAUCCCAUAUUAAUAGAAACAGAAAUACUCUAUAGAACAGAUUAUCAGUAGAAACAAUCCAGCAAUAUUGUGAUGAUUUCUCCAAGUCUUCCUGGAAACCAGAAGUUUUGCCAGCUGUACUCACCUCUAAGUGUUCAGAUUUCCUUUUGCUGCCCACUGUGAGUGCACAGACAGCCGUGUCUCUAUCCUGGCGUGACAAAGCAAUGAGAAAAUUGUAUCUUUAAAUACCAACUUAAUCUAAUCUGGGACAAAAACAAUGAAAGGCUUUAAUCAUAAUUGCAUGGUGCCUGCUGGCUGUCACCAGAGGGCAGAGACAAGGUUGUUUGUUGCCACGUGUGGAUAGUUCAGAAAUUAAAUCUCCUUUCCACAAAGGCAAUAGAUUCUGAUCUAGCUUGUGUCCUUUCCAAAUAUUUCAGCCUCGUAACCAGAUCGCUCAUUUCAUCAGCAUCUGUCACAAACACUGUCUUGCUUCUGUCAGGCUAUGUACAAAGGGGCAAGGAGAAAUGUCUUUAUCGUACUGUGGGUGCCUGACUUUAUAACAUCGCAGCUUACACAAAAUACUGGCUCACAAAAUAAACAGGAGACUUACUUCCCCUUUGCAAAGCUUUUCCAGAGCUUGGUGUUUGCAGUGCCUGCACUCUGUGAAUGCUUCCCAGCUGGGCAACCACAGCAGGAACAGGGGGAGCCCGAUGGGGAUCAGGAGCUGCUCUUACACAGAACACAUGGAAAGCUGUGCUGUUGUCUCAGUUUAGAAGAACGAAGAUUUUAAAGGCCAAGGCAGUAAGAAUGCAGUUUUGGACCAUCUCCCUCCAAGAAAAGCUACUCGACGCACAACAGCCCUGCCAGGCUGCAGCAUGAGCUACCAAAGAGCUGCUGCUGCUCAAGUGUCUCUGUGCCAUGCGCCACUGGAUGGCCAGGCUUGGUGUUUACAAGCAAGCCCCUGGGCUCGCUGUUCACAGCUCCAGCACCAAGGCUUAACUGGAGAAGGGAUUCCACAAGAGAAGCCAAAACUGUUUAUCAGAACCAGGAAUCAUUGGGCUGACUUGCCAAAUCAGACUAAGAGUUUAUAUGGCCGUUAUGAGGACUCAGAAUAAAGCGCGUGGACAUGGAAGACAUUGGUACAUAAACAUUUAACGCCCUGAUGUUUUAAUUAUUUUGGCCUGCAGCAGCAAGGAACAUUUUAAAGGCCAGAUCCUUUGUAGUGCUGAAUAUAUUCAACACCAGUUGUGCUCCUCAGAACCACCGUGCUCGAUGCCUUCCCACGAGGUGCCUCAAGUAGAGCCCCAUGCUGCCUGCCCUCCCAGCCAGCAGCCACCACCACCCUGGGGGUGGAAAGUACAAGGGCAACUUGACGCCAUUGACAACCACAGGACAUUCCUUGUAUGUGAAAUUUCUGCAGAUUCAAGAUUUCUACAUAGCUGUGCUGCCACUUACUUACAGAAACAUGUUUUCACAGCUUAAAUGCAUUAACCCCUAGUGGGCCUUAGAUUUCUGUGUAGGAUUUGACAUGACGUGUCUUCGAGAGAUCUUCAGGACAGGAAGACAAAACACCACUCCUGGAAAUUAAAAAAUAACUGAAUUUAGAUCAAACACUUGGAAAGUCUGGCUUUUGCUCUAAAAGAUUAACCAGUAUUUAGAAUUUUUUUUUUUUGCUGUGGGAGAUUCCUUCAGUAAUUAUUAAAAAGCAAGAUGAAAAACCAGCAUCAUCUUUUGAGUGCCAAUAUCACGCCUGGACAAAAGCAAUCAGCCCUAGAUCAGCCCUAAUAAUAUUUGCUCCUGGAUACAUUGCAGAAUCCCUGGCUAUGCUUAGGAUAGGAAGGAAUUUCCUCAUGUGCCUUGUGAUCAGAGCUGAACGUUAGCCUUGUCCCCUCUAUGGGCCCUGUUUUGUUUCUGAAGAUUUCCUCUGCUUUUUUCAGGUAUGGUUUGGUUUGAUUUACUCUAGUAAUCACAAAAAAUGAUCUAGAUUUUUGUCCACUAGAAAUGAGAUGCAGGGAAAGGAAGAGGAUUAUGAGAAUAACCAGCUGCUCAACCACCUACAGCCUCCUGGUCCACUCCUACAAGGUCAGUGGAUUGUGUUCAAGAUCACAAUCAAAGCAUGCGUUGUGUCAGUUGCAGCACUACACCUAAGCAGCAACCUCUUUGCUUCUAUAUGUAGCUAGAUCAUUGCCAGGCCUAGAAUAAGGUGAACAAAAUUCCUAAUCUCACGGUUAAUGACAACAUGCUUUAAUUCUUCUACUCCUGUUACACUUACGAAAACAGUCUAUAUAGUGUGAUGAAUUUUUAUGCAUACUUACUCUUCUUAUUUCAGGCACAUUGGUUCUAGAUCUUUAUAAACAGCCCCAAGGUGUUUUUUUUUUGUUUUUUUUUUUUGGUGUUCUUUUGGCAAAUAAUUGGUCAUACUUGAAGCUGAUGGGAGAGUUUGCAUUGGACUCAGGGAGUGGGCUUUGCCUCAGGUCAAGUAAAGCCAGUAACUGGAUCCAACAACUACUUGAUCUCCAGUUUCCAGUUUCUCCAAUUGUUUUGUCUGUUCUGCAGAAGCUAAGUUAAUUACAAAUAAUAGGCCCUAACUUGACAUACACCUCUCUCAUAUUCAACCUCUAUGAUUAGAAAAACACCAAGACUAGAUAUCUACAUGAAGUCUGUCUUGUGA